This 253-nucleotide ribosomal RNA is filed under the name uncultured bacterium. Its description in RNAcentral is "partial 16S ribosomal RNA". It matches the Rfam family "Bacterial small subunit ribosomal RNA", at positions 524 to 776 of the family's 1533-position model. The record is from RNAcentral.
GACGUAGGGCGCGAGCGUUGUCCGGAUUUAUUGGGCGUAAAGGGCGCGUAGGCGGCCUGCUAAGUCGAACGUGAAAUCCCUGGGCUCAACCCAGGAACUGCGUCCGAUACUGGUUGGCUUGAAUCCGGGAGAGGGAUGUGGAAUUCCAGGUGUAGCGGUGAAAUGCGUAGAUAUCUGGAGGAAUACCGGUGGCGAAGGCGGCUCACUGGCCCGGUACUGACGCUGAGAUACGAAAGCGUGGGGAGCAAACAGG